Molecule: ribosomal RNA, 468 nt
Filed under: uncultured bacterium
Lineage: Bacteria
Description: partial 16S ribosomal RNA
Rfam family: Bacterial small subunit ribosomal RNA
Source: RNAcentral
GACGAACGCUGGCGGCGUGCUUAACACAUGCAAGUCGAACGGCAAGGCCCUGCUUUUGUGGGGUGCUCGAGUGGCGAACGGGUGCGUAACACGUGAGUAACCUGCCCUUGACUUUGGGAUAACUUCAGGAAACUGGGGCUAAUACCGGAUAGGAGCUCCUGCUGCAUGGUGGGGGUUGGAAAGUUUCGGCGGUUGGGGAUGGACUCGCGGCUUAUCAGCUUGUUGGUGGGGUAGUGGCUUACCAAGGCUUUGACGGGUAGCCGGCCUGAGAGGGUGACCGGCCACCAUGGGACUGAGAGACGGCCCAGACUCGUACGGGAGACAGCAGGGGGAAAUAUGGCACAAUGGGCGGAAGCCGGAUGCAGAAACGCCGCGGGCGGGAUGACGGCCUUCGGGUAGUAAACCGCUUUCGCCUGUGACGAAGCGUGAGUGACGGUAAUGGGUAAAGAAGCACCGGCUAACUACGUG